GUGCUCGCUUCGGCAGCACAUAUACUAAAACUGGAACGAUACAGAGAAGAUUAGCAUGGCCCCUGUGCAAGGAUGACACACAAAUUCAUGAAGCGUUCCAUAUUUUU
RNAcentral lists this small nuclear RNA (107 nucleotides) under Catagonus wagneri (Chacoan peccary). The record is from RNAcentral. Lineage: Eukaryota; Metazoa; Chordata; Mammalia; Artiodactyla; Tayassuidae.